UUCGUUUAGAACAUACAACGUUUCGACCAGUAAUACUGGUCCUUAUCAAGUAUUAAAAAAUUUCUUAGCAACCCAUUAGAUGUGACAGCAAAAAUCUAAAACAUGAUUAAUGUGGAAUAAGUUUAAAAUAUUUUAUAUCUACUCCAUAUGUGUUACUGUGCAGAGUGAUUCGUUCCUCCAUGUAUUCUUAUAUUAUUACCAAUGUUACCCAUUUUUUGCUGUCACAUCUAAUGGGUUGCUAAGAAAUUUUUUAAUACUUGAUAAGGACCAGUAUUACUGGUCGAAACGUUGUAUGUUCUAAACGAAAUAUAUUGUGCCAGUUAAUUGUCGACGUUAUCGUUAUUAU
Molecule: long non-coding RNA, 346 nt
Organism: Vollenhovia emeryi
Lineage: Eukaryota; Metazoa; Arthropoda; Insecta; Hymenoptera; Formicidae
Exons: 2
Source: RefSeq, a predicted model, not a curated record